RNAcentral lists this ribosomal RNA (419 nucleotides) under Shigella flexneri. RNAcentral's name for it is "partial 23S ribosomal RNA". It matches the Rfam family "Bacterial large subunit ribosomal RNA", at positions 119 to 578 of the family's 2925-position model. Lineage: Bacteria; Pseudomonadati; Pseudomonadota; Gammaproteobacteria; Enterobacterales; Enterobacteriaceae. The record is from RNAcentral.
UGGGGAAACCCAGUGUGAUUCGUCACACUAUCAUUAACUGAAUCCAUAGGUUAAUGAGGCGAACCGGGGGAACUGAAACAUCUAAGUACCCCGAGGAAAAGAAAUCAACCGAGAUUCCCCCAGUAGCGGCGAGCGAACGGGGAGCAGCCCAGAGCCUGAAUCAGUGUGUGUGUUAGUGGAAGCGUCUGGAAAGGCGUGCGAUACAGGGUGACAGCCCCGUACACAAAAAUGCACAUAUUGUGAGCUCGAUGAGUAGGGCGGGACACGUGGUAUCCUGUCUGAAUAUGGGGGGACCAUCCUCCAAGGCUAAAUACUCCUGACUGACCGAUAGUGAACCAGUACCGUGAGGGAAAGGCGAAAAGAACCCCGGCGAGGGGAGUGAAAAAGAACCUGAAACCGUGUACGUACAAGCAGUGGGA